AGCUUUGCGCCAUGGCAGUAUCGUAGCCAAUGAGGUUUAUCCAAGGCACAAUUAUUGCUAAUUGAAAAAAAUAAAAUAAAGUAAUUCUUUUGUUGUAUCUCAGUAC
RNAcentral lists this small nuclear RNA (106 nucleotides) under Neogale vison (American mink). RNAcentral describes it as "Neovison vison (American mink) U4 spliceosomal RNA (ENSNVIG00000003040.1)". It matches the Rfam family "U4 spliceosomal RNA". Rfam says of the family: U4 small nuclear RNA (U4 snRNA) is a component of the major U2-dependent spliceosome. The structure of U4 snRNA from yeast and human has been reported. Lineage: Eukaryota; Metazoa; Chordata; Mammalia; Carnivora; Mustelidae. The record is from RNAcentral.